GUACACUCCUGCGGGAGGCAGCAGUGGGGAAUUUUGGACAAUGGGCGAAAGCCUGAUCCAGCAAUGCCGCGUGAGUGAAGAAGGCCUUCGGGUUGUAAAGCUCUUUUGUCAGGGAAGAAACGGUGAAAGCUAAUAUCUUUUGCUAAUGACGGUACCUGAAGAAUAAGCACCGGCUAACUACGUGCCAGCAGCCGCGGUAAUACGUAGGGUGCAAGCGUUAAUCGGAAUUACUGGGCGUAAAGCGUGCGCAGGCGGUGUUGUAAGUCUGAUGUGAAAUCCCCGGGCUCAACCUGGGAAUUGCAUUGGAGACUGCAAGGCUAGAAUCUGGCAGAGGGGGGUAGAAUUCCACGUGUAGCAGUGAAAUGCGUAGAUAUGUGGAGGAACACCGAUGGCGAAGGCAGCCCCCUGGGUCAAGAUUGACGCUCAUGCACGAAAGCGUGGGGAGCAAACAGGAUUAGAUACCCGGGUAGUCCCAU
RNAcentral lists this ribosomal RNA (476 nucleotides) under uncultured organism. RNAcentral describes it as "partial 16S ribosomal RNA". It matches the Rfam family "Bacterial small subunit ribosomal RNA", at positions 331 to 798 of the family's 1533-position model. The record is from RNAcentral.